RNAcentral lists this ribosomal RNA (198 nucleotides) under uncultured bacterium. Its description in RNAcentral is "partial 16S ribosomal RNA". It matches the Rfam family "Bacterial small subunit ribosomal RNA", at positions 328 to 539 of the family's 1533-position model. The record is from RNAcentral.
ACGCUCGACACCUACGGGAGCCAGCAGUGGGGAAUAUUGCACAAUGGGGGAAACCCUGAUGCAGCGACGCCGCGUGGAGGAAGAAGGUCUUCGGAUUGUAAACUCCUGUUGUUGGGGAAAAAGAGGAUGGUACCCAACAAGGAAGUGACGGCUAACUACGUGCCAGCAGCCACGGUAAUCUGAGCGGGCUGGCAAGGC